Molecule: ribosomal RNA, 690 nt
Filed under: uncultured Lachnospiraceae bacterium
Lineage: Bacteria; Bacillati; Bacillota; Clostridia; Lachnospirales; Lachnospiraceae
Description: bacterial SSU rRNA
Rfam family: Bacterial small subunit ribosomal RNA
Source: RNAcentral
GACGAACGCUGGCGGCACGCUUAACACAUGCAAGUCGAACGAGAGAAGAGAAGCUUGCUUUUCUGAUCUAGUGGCGGACGGGUGAGUAACACGUGAGCAAUCUGCCUUUCAGAGGGGGAUACCGAUUGGAAACGAUCGUUAAUACCGCAUAAUAUAAUUGAACCGCAUGAUUUGAUUAUCAAAGAUUUAUCGCUGAAAGAUGAGCUCGCGUCUGAUUAGCUAGUUGGUAAGGUAACGGCUUACCAAGGCGACGAUCAGUAGCCGGACUGAGAGGUUGAUCGGCCACAUUGGGACUGAGACACGGCCCAGACUCCUACGGGAGGCAGCAGUGGGGAAUAUUGCACAAUGGAGGAAACUCUGAUGCAGCGAUGCCGCGUGAGGGAAGAAGGUUUUAGGAUUGUAAACCUCUGUCUUCAGGGACGAAAAAAGACGGUACCUGAGGAGGAAGCUCCGGCUAACUACGUGCCAGCAGCCGCGGUAAUACGUAGGGAGCGAGCGUUGUCCGGAAUUACUGGGUGUAAAGGGAGCGUAGGCGGGAUCGCAAGUCAGAUGUGAAAACUAUGGGCUUAACCCAUAAACUGCAUUUGAAACUGUGGUUCUUGAGUGAAGUAGAGGUAAGCGGAAUUCCUAGUGUAGCGGUGAAAUGCGUAGAUAUUAGGAGGAACAUCAGUGGCGAAGGCGGCUUACUGG